UAAGAGUUGUGGCACAUACAUGUACUGAGGUAGGAUGUUUUACAGCAGAACAAUGAGUUAACAGUGGCUAAUAAUUAGCCAGGCCCUAUUACAAAUAUAAAUCUCCUUCUUCAACCUGCAGUCCAAAGGACACACUCACUGCACAGGCUAGUUUCCAGCCUAAACCUCAUGAAAUUUCCAGAUUUCCAGAAUUCCUCCUCACAGAAUCAUCCCAAUAAUAACCAGAAAUACAGAACAUCUGUUUUUGCAUUUUAAAAGCACAUGACUGCUAAAUCCUACUAAAAACACACACAAAAAAAUGACUUGAAUAAAGAGGGAAUUUUCACCCCGACAGCUGCAUUACCAAACUUCUUGUAAGGAACGCUUGUGUCACAUACUUAACUAGAUGAAUGCUCAGUUUCAUUUACUAGGAAACCGUAACUUAAGGGGAGUUAGGACUGCACUCACAGAAACACACAGACCAGCAGCAGACUAAUGCAGGAUGAUGAGGAUCUCAGGAAGAGUCACAAGUUGCGGUGUUGCUCUGUUCCUUGUCCUGACCUCUGUGUCAGCUGUACAAAGGCUCAACUCAAUCAAUGAUUUGAAGAGAAUCAACUUUGGCCAAUCUGUGCCCAAGCACAGUCUUCUGCUGCUCCACUGGUUUGCCAACGAGGUUGAUAUUGACAGAAACAAUGUCAUACGGUUGACCUUUGAUCCAGACAAUGAAGAUUAUGGUUCACAUCAUUAUGGCAACUAUGAGGGAUUGUUGGACCCACUGCCUAAUGGAAAUACACACCAGUACUACACUGUUGGCAAUCUCAAUCAAGGGACCUCUGUGCAACUUCCAAAUUACGUCACCCAUUCUCGGAGAGAGUACGAAGGAGAAAACAUGGACCGGAUCAUAUUCAGAGUCAGGGAGCCGCACACAGGACAGCGAGUUCUGCAGAGGAUAGACCGAGUGUUUAUCACACAACAUUAUGAAUAUCAGGAAACAGAUUAUGAUCCAGAUCAUACCUACGAGAUCACUACUGACCUCUUAAUGCAGAUCAGACAGUUUUUCAGUCUCUGUGGGAGAGGACCAGUCAUCACUUAUGCAUCUCAGAAACUGUUACAGAAGUAAUGCUGAUUUAUGGCGCAUCAGAAACACAUGGCGUGACCUUGCUUGUCUUGGACUGUUCUUGUUUAUUGUGCUCCAAGAAAAUCACACCUCUCAACAAACGCAACAACAGACCUCAGAGUGCAGCAAAAGGAAACACACAACCAGAUUUUGCUUGUCAAAAUCCCACAAGAGAAACAAAAUCACUGGCCCUGACACUUGCUAUGCUUGCUGUGAGACCUGUCUUAUUGUUGUUCUUAUUUUAUUCAUUUCAUUAUAUGCCAUUGCCUUUUUUUUAUCAGGGGAAUUAGAUAAUAAGAAUGAGGGCAAAAAUGUUCCUAAAUAUUGUCUAAACAAAGUGUGAUGGUAACACUUUUCAGUGAUGAUGACCACCAGGAAGCCAGCAGGACUUUUAAGAUUAAUGUGAUUCAGGCAGUUAUGACACCUCAGUAAACCUGGACAAUGGCAAAUGUGUUGUUCUAUUGUUCUGCUGUAUGCAUUUAUUUUUUUUACUUCCAUGUUCAAUUGAUUGUGUACAAUUUUAGCUUAUUUUGUAAAUGUGGUUCACUUAAUAUUGACAUACAGGGUUAGUAUGGCAUGUUUGUGAUUAAAGACCAAAUACUGAAAAAUCAGUGUUUGCCAUGAAGGGCUCAGAGUCUUCAGGGUUUCAGUUCAGUCCAAUCAGUCAGUCAACUUUAUUUCAGACUAUAGCACCAUAUAAAAUCUAUCAGUGAUCAGCACAUCUUCAUCACAGAGAAACAAAGAAGUUAUCAGUGAAUGAAGGCGGCGUUUGUUCUGAAUAAAUAUUUAGUAAAAUCAUGUGAAAAAGUGUUAAUUUAUGUGCCAAUCAUU
This is a long non-coding RNA of Lates calcarifer (barramundi perch), 1927 nucleotides long. RefSeq lists it as uncharacterized. The transcript is spliced from 2 exons. NCBI's taxonomy places the organism in Eukaryota, Metazoa, Chordata, Actinopteri, Centropomidae. The record is from RefSeq and is a predicted model, not a curated record.